Molecule: ribosomal RNA, 300 nt
Filed under: uncultured Bacillus sp.
Lineage: Bacteria; Bacillati; Bacillota; Bacilli; Caryophanales; Bacillaceae
Description: bacterial SSU rRNA
Rfam family: Bacterial small subunit ribosomal RNA
Source: RNAcentral
GCGAAACGCCGGGCCAGGUGCGGGGUGAGUACGGGGGGGGCUAGGGUGGUUCGGAAGUGCUGGGCGUAAAGGGGACGUAGGCGGACCGGCAAGUUGGGGGUGAAGUCCCGGGGCUCAACCCCGGAACUGCCUCCAAAACUGCAGGUCUGGAGUCCGGGAGAGGCGAGUGGAAUUCCGAGUGUAGAGGUGAAAUUCGUAGAUAUUCGGAGGAACACCAGUGGCGAAGGCGGCUCGCUGGUCCGGUACUGACGCUGAGGUGCGAAAGCGUGGGGAGCAAACAGGAUUAGAUACCCGGUAGUC